RNAcentral lists this ribosomal RNA (2899 nucleotides) under Escherichia coli. Its description in RNAcentral is "bacterial LSU rRNA". It matches the Rfam family "Bacterial large subunit ribosomal RNA". Lineage: Bacteria; Pseudomonadati; Pseudomonadota; Gammaproteobacteria; Enterobacterales; Enterobacteriaceae. The record is from RNAcentral.
UUAAGCGACUAAGCGUACACGGUGGAUGCCCUGGCAGUCAGAGGCGAUGAAGGACGUGCUAAUCUGCGAUAAGCGUCGGUAAGGUGAUAUGAACCGUUAUAACCGGCGAUUUCCGAAUGGGGAAACCCAGUGUGUUUCGACACACUAUCAUUAACUGAAUCCAUAGGUUAAUGAGGCGAACCGGGGAACUGAAACAUCUAAGUACCCCGAGGAAAAGAAAUCAACCGAGAUUCCCCCAGUAGCGGCGAGCGAACGGGGAGCAGCCCAGAGCCUGAAUCAGUGUGUGUGUUAGUGGAAGCGUCUGGAAAGGCGUGCGAUACAGGGUGACAGCCCCGUACACAAAAAUGCACAUAUUGUGAGCUCGAUGAGUAGGGCGGGACACGUGGUAUCCUGUCUGAAUAUGGGGGGACCAUCCUCCAAGGCUAAAUACUCCUGACUGACCGAUAGUGAACCAGUACCGUGAGGGAAAGGCGAAAAGAACCCCGGCGAGGGGAGUGAAAAAGAACCUGAAACCGUGUACGUACAAGCAGUGGGAGCACGCUUAGGCGUGUGACUGCGUACCUUUUGUAUAAUGGGUCAGCGACUUAUAUUCUGUAGCAAGGUUAACCGAAUAGGGGAGCCGAAGGGAAACCGAGUCUUAACUGGGCGUUAAGUUGCAGGGUAUAGACCCGAAACCCGGUGAUCUACCAUGGGCAGGUUGAAGGUUGGGUAACACUAACUGGAGGACCGAACCGACUAAUGUUGAAAAAUUAGCGGAUGACUUGUGGCUGGGGGUGAAAGGCCAAUCAAACCGGGAGAUAGCUGGUUCUCCCCGAAGCUAUUUAGGUAGCGCCUCGUGAAUUCAUCUCCGGGGGUAGAGCACUGUUUCGGCAAGGGGGUCAUCCCGACUUACCAACCCGAUGCAAACUGCGAAUACCGGAGAAUGUUAUCACGGGAGACACACGGCGGGUGCUAACGUCCGUCGUGAAGAGGGAAACAACCCAGACCGCCAGCUAAGGUCCCAAAGUCAUGGUUAAGUGGGAAACGAUGUGGGAAGGCCCAGACAGCCAGGAUGUUGGCUUAGAAGCAGCCAUCAUUUAAAGAAAGCGUAAUAGCUCACUGGUCGAGUCGGCCUGCGCGGAAGAUGUAACGGGGCUAAACCAUGCACCGAAGCUGCGGCAGCGACGCUUAUGCGUUGUUGGGUAGGGGAGCGUUCUGUAAGCCUGUGAAGGUGUGCUGUGAGGCAUGCUGGAGGUAUCAGAAGUGCGAAUGCUGACAUAAGUAACGAUAAAGCGGGUGAAAAGCCCGCUCGCCGGAAGACCAAGGGUUCCUGUCCAACGUUAAUCGGGGCAGGGUGAGUCGACCCUAAGGCGAGGCCGAAAGGCGUAGUCGAUGGGAAACAGGUUAAUAUUCCUGUACUUGGUGUUACUGCGAAGGGGGGACGGAGAAGGCUAUGUUGGCCGGGCGACGGUUGUCCCGGUUUUAAGCGUGUAGGCUGGUUUUCCAGGCAAAUCCGGAAAAUCAAGGCUGAGGCGUGAUGACGAGGCACUACGGUGCUGAAGCAACAAAUGCCCUGCUUCCAGGAAAAGCCUCUAAGCAUCAGGUAACAUCAAAUCGUACCCCAAACCGACACAGGUGGUCAGGUAGAGAAUACCAAGGCGCUUGAGAGAACUCGGGUGAAGGAACUAGGCAAAAUGGUGCCGUAACUUCGGGAGAAGGCACGCUGAUAUGUAGGUGAAGUCCCUUGCGGAUGGAGCUGAAAUCAGUCGAAGAUACCAGCUGGCUGCAACUGUUUAUUAAAAACACAGCACUGUGCAAACACGAAAGUGGACGUAUACGGUGUGACGCCUGCCCGGUGCCGGAAGGUUAAUUGAUGGGGUCAGCGCAAGCGAAGCUCUUGAUCGAAGCCCCGGUAAACGGCGGCCGUAACUAUAACGGUCCUAAGGUAGCGAAAUUCCUUGUCGGGUAAGUUCCGACCUGCACGAAUGGCGUAAUGAUGGCCAGGCUGUCUCCACCCGAGACUCAGUGAAAUUGAACUCGCUGUGAAGAUGCAGUGUACCCGCGGCAAGACGGAAAGACCCCGUGAACCUUUACUAUAGCUUGACACUGAACAUUGAGCCUUGAUGUGUAGGAUAGGUGGGAGGCUUUGAAGUGUGGACGCCAGUCUGCAUGGAGCCGACCUUGAAAUACCACCCUUUAAUGUUUGAUGUUCUAACGUGGACCCGUGAUCCGGGUUGCGGACAGUGUCUGGUGGGUAGUUUGACUGGGGCGGUCUCCUCCUAAAGAGUAACGGAGGAGCACGAAGGUUGGCUAAUCCUGGUCGGACAUCAGGAGGUUAGUGCAAUGGCAUAAGCCAGCUUGACUGCGAGCGUGACGGCGCGAGCAGGUGCGAAAGCAGGUCAUAGUGAUCCGGUGGUUCUGAAUGGAAGGGCCAUCGCUCAACGGAUAAAAGGUACUCCGGGGAUAACAGGCUGAUACCGCCCAAGAGUUCAUAUCGACGGCGGUGUUUGGCACCUCGAUGUCGGCUCAUCACAUCCUGGGGCUGAAGUAGGUCCCAAGGGUAUGGCUGUUCGCCAUUUAAAGUGGUACGCGAGCUGGGUUUAGAACGUCGUGAGACAGUUCGGUCCCUAUCUGCCGUGGGCGCUGGAGAACUGAGGGGGGCUGCUCCUAGUACGAGAGGACCGGAGUGGACGCAUCACUGGUGUUCGGGUUGUCAUGCCAAUGGCACUGCCCGGUAGCUAAAUGCGGAAGAGAUAAGUGCUGAAAGCAUCUAAGCACGAAACUUGCCCCGAGAUGAGUUCUCCCUGACCCUUUAAGGGUCCUGAAGGAACGUUGAAGACGACGACGUUGAUAGGCCGGGUGUGUAAGCGCAGCGAUGCGUUGAGCUAACCGGUACUAAUGAACCGUGAGGCUUAACCUU